RNAcentral lists this ribosomal RNA (748 nucleotides) under uncultured cyanobacterium. RNAcentral's name for it is "bacterial SSU rRNA". It matches the Rfam family "Bacterial small subunit ribosomal RNA", at positions 8 to 796 of the family's 1533-position model. The record is from RNAcentral. Lineage: Bacteria; Bacillati; Cyanobacteriota.
AGAGUUUGAUCAUGGCUCAGGAUGAACGCUGGCGGUCUGCUUAACACAUGCAAGUCGAACGGAAAGUCUUCGGACUUUUAGUGGCGGACGGGUGAGUAACGCGUGAGAAUCUGCCCUUUGGAGUGGGACAACGACUGGAAACGGUCGCUAAUACCGCAUGAGCCGAGAGGUAAAAGAUUAAUUGCCAAAGGAUGAGCUCGCGUCGGAUUAGCUAGUUGGUGAGGUAAGAGCUCACCAAGGCGACGAUCCGUAGCUGGUCUGAGAGGAUGACCAGCCACACUGGGACUGAGACACGGCCCAGACUCCUACGGGAGGCAGCAGUGGGGAAUUUUCCGCAAUGGGCGCAAGCCUGACGGAGCAAGACCGCGUGAGGGAGGAAGGCUCUUGGGUCGUAAACCUCUUUUGUCAAGGAAGAACACAAUGACGGUACUUGACGAAUCAGCCUCGGCUAACUCCGUGCCAGCAGCCGCGGUAAUACGGAGGAGGCAAGCGUUAUCCGGAUUUAUUGGGCGUAAAGCGUCCGCAGGUGGUUUAUCAAGUCUGCUGUUAAAGCGCGGAGCUUAACUUCGUACAGGCAGUGGAAACUGAUGAACUUGAGUGUGAUAGGGGCAGAGGGAAUUCCCGGUGUAGCGGUGAAAUGCGUAGAGAUCGGGAAGAACAUCGGUGGCGAAAGCGCUCUACUGGACGGCAACUGACACUCAGGGACGAAAGCUAGGGGAGCGAAUGGGAUUAGAUACCCCCGUAGUCC